UGUUCAUCUUCUAUAGGACUUCCAGCAUUGCAGUGUAACAGUAACAACAAUUAAACAUUUGAUAAAGAAAAAAGAAUCCCACUAAGGUGAGGACUGUCAAUAUCUUGAGCAAAGAAAAACCUCAUAUGACAAUAGAGAAACAUCAUUCUUUUCUUUUACACUCGUGAAUUUGCUUUCACAGAGUGACCUUUAUGACGUUUUGGACAUUCUCUCUUGUCAAUAGAUGAUUAAUGUCAGGGAAAACACUCCAAAUCUUCCAUAGAUCACACAGAUCUACAGUGAGAGCAGCAGGUUUAUUCUGUUGUACUGAUUCUACUUGCCAUGUUUGUGAUGUCAUAGAGGUCUGAGGGGGUUUCUGUCUGUGUGUGGAGGCAUGGCAAGCAGCGACCAGUCUCAUGAGUGACAGAUUCCAGAAUUCUUGGCUGCUAGAAGCAGAGGAAUGGCUCGUUUUGAAUUUAACUGAAAUAUAAAUUGAAAUGCUUAUAACACCUAAAUGUAACUAUGUUCCUUAAAGAGGAAACUAGAUUUAGAUUUUAAUGAUCACCUAUGAGAAGUGCUCAGAGAAUGCCUGAUGAUAAGAAGGUGGCACACUGAAGAUAAAGAUCAGUGGACACAGGGGCUGCAAGGGUGGCUUCUGGGAAAAGAAUGCAAAAGCUGUUCCAUAUCAGAUCAGAGCCAGUUCCACACAGUUCCAAAAUGGACCUGCUGCUGGGCAGAGCUGAGUCAUGACCAAUGCUAACUGUGCCUCUACAAUAAAAUAUUUAAGAAAGAGAAAAAUUGCUGUAUGGGAGCAGCUGGAACACUGGAGUGAGAAAAUGUGAGGAAAACAGUCCUGCAGGCACCAAGGUCAGUGCAGAUGGCAGGAGGUACUCUAGGCAUAGAGCAGAAGUUUCCUGAAGCCCAGAAGAGGCCCAUGAUAGAUCAGGCUGUCUCCCUGCAGCCCAUGGGCUCCAUGCAGAGCAGAUCCCAGUGUGCAGCCAUGGAGGAGCCCAUGGAUCUGUUUGGAAGGAAUAUAUCCCAUAGGAGGGAUCUGCUGCUGGAGCAGGGGAAGUGCAUCAGGGUGGAAGAGUGACAGAGAAAAAGUGUUAUGGACUGACUGCAACUGCUAUUUCCCACUCUCCUGCACUUCUUGGAAUGGGAAAGAGGCUGAAGAAGUGCAGGGUUAUUUUGUUCAGUAGACUUUUCUAGUUUGCUUUUCAUUCUUCCCCAAACUGAGUCUAUUUUGUCCGCAGUGGUAAUAGGUGAGAAACAUCCAUAUCCUUAUCUCAGCCCAUUAGCUGUUACUUCAUGUUUCCCUCUCUAUUCUGUUGAGGAGGGGAAGUAAGAGAGCAGCAUGAUGAAUACUGAGCAGCAAGGUCAAAUCUUUUUUUUUUUUCCAUUAGCAAGCAUUUAUGAACAUUUUAGUUGUCAUUUUUCUUUUUCUUUUGUGUUUUAGCAUCCUCAAUGUUCUCUAAAGAAUUAUUCGCUUUCCACUAACAUUAUUUUUUAAUUCUUUCAGGCCAGGGUAGCGGUGGGAGAUUUAAAUGGGCGCAAACCCGGAAGAGACCCUUUUGAUCGCCGAGGUUUGCUGCUUUGGAGCUUCCCCAGGCAGAGCUGAGGCGGCUGAUCGCGGGGUGCAUAGAGGACUCGCUCAGUUUUCACUCAUCCAGGGAUUCCCGAGGCAUCGGAGCAGCCCAGUACCUCUCGCGAGAGCGGCUCACGUGGCAGGGGCGUUGCCAGGGUAGCGGCUCUCCGUCCCCGCCUCCCUCCCCCCCCCAAUAAGAGCGUUGAAGACGGGGAAGAGGAGUUUUGUCACUGUGAAGAGGGUGAUAAGUGCGGCUGUACCAGUCAACGACCUGGUAAAAGAGUGAGGGCAGAUCCAGCACUUUCAGUAACGGGGCGGAGCUGUUAGUCACACUUGGUAACGCUACUCUUAUUGUGCUGGUGCUAGUGGGUCUGCUGGAUUGCCAUGGCUGCGUCCCGGCGGAAGGCUACUGCCAGGAAACAUGUGGGGACCCAGACAGAGGUCCCCUGCACUCGUAAGAGGAAGGCUGUAGCCAAGAAGAGUGUGGAGACCCAGACUGAGGUCCCAAAACAGCACGCUAGCGUUCAGGUUGCUGGCUGACACGAGUGCCAGAGUCUGGCCCUUGAAGUGCCAGGUGAUGGAGGCAGCGUCUCUGUAAGGUGCGACCAGGUAAAUGACCUUCUCAGUCUGGUGGCCUGCCUGAGGGAAGAGGUGGAGAG
Meleagris gallopavo (turkey) is the source of this 2223-nucleotide non-coding RNA. The record is from RefSeq and is a predicted model, not a curated record. NCBI's taxonomy places the organism in Eukaryota, Metazoa, Chordata, Aves, Galliformes, Phasianidae.